Molecule: ribosomal RNA, 497 nt
Filed under: uncultured bacterium
Lineage: Bacteria
Description: partial 16S ribosomal RNA
Rfam family: Bacterial small subunit ribosomal RNA
Source: RNAcentral
GAUGAACGCUGGCGGCGUGCCUAAUACAUGCGAGUCGAGCGAACAGACGAGGAGCUUGCUCCUCUGACGUUAGCGGCGGACGGGUGAGUAACACGUGGAUAACCUACCUAUAAGACUGGGAUAACUUCGGGAAACCGGAGCUAACACCGGAUAAUAUAUUGAACCGCAUGGUUCAAUAGUGAAAGACGGUUUUGCUGUCACUUAUAGAUGGAUCCGCGCCGCAUUAGCUAGUUGGUAAGGUAACGGCUUACCAAGGCAACGAUGCGUAGCCGACCUGAGAGGGUGAUCGGCCACACUGGAACUGAGACACGGUCCAGACUCCUACGGGAGGCAGCAGUAGGGAAUCUUCCGCAAUGGGCGAAAGCCUGACGGAGCAACGCCGCGUGAGUGAUGAAGGUCUUCGGAUCGUAAAACUCUGUUAUUAGGGAAGAACAAAUGUGUAAGUAACUAUGCACGUCUUGACGGUACCUAAUCAGAAAGCCACGGCUAACUACGUG